Molecule: small nuclear RNA, 90 nt
Filed under: Brassica oleracea var. oleracea
Lineage: Eukaryota; Viridiplantae; Streptophyta; Magnoliopsida; Brassicales; Brassicaceae
Source: RNAcentral
GUCCCUUCGGGCACAUCCGAUAAAAUUGGAACAUUACAGAAAAGAUUAGCAUGGCCUAUGCGCUAGGAUCGAGAAAUUGUCUAAAUUUUG